GUCGAAUCCUGNAUAGCAGAACAACCNGAGAACCGGUUAACAACCAGUUGGNAGACGACGGGGGCAUCGCCCCUUGCGCUCACAAACCCCGCUUGCUGUGGGUAGCCCCACCGGGUCCACAGCACGCGGGCAUCAACGAAACCCGGCACGGAACGUGCCAAGGAACUCGAAUAAGAGAAGCGCAGUCUCGGCACCCCCGUUCGCGGGGUGUGUYGUGAUCAAGCGCAAUCUUUUCUAUCAAUAUC
This 245-nucleotide unclassified non-coding RNA is filed under the name Epilobium ciliatum. RNAcentral describes it as "partial miscellaneous RNA". The record is from RNAcentral. Lineage: Eukaryota; Viridiplantae; Streptophyta; Magnoliopsida; Myrtales; Onagraceae.